RNAcentral lists this ribosomal RNA (172 nucleotides) under uncultured bacterium. Its description in RNAcentral is "partial 16S ribosomal RNA". It matches the Rfam family "Bacterial small subunit ribosomal RNA", at positions 336 to 525 of the family's 1533-position model. The record is from RNAcentral.
CUCCUACGGGAGGCAGCAGUGGGGAAUAUUGGACAAUGGGCGCAAGCCUGAUCCAGCCAUGCCGCGUGAGUGAUGAAGGCCCUAGGGUUGUAAAGCUCUUUCACCGGUGAAGAUAAUGACGGUAACCGGAGAAGAAGCCCCGGCUAACUUCGUGCCAGCAGCCGCGGUAAUA